UAGAGUUCGGACCUGGCUCAGGAUGAACGCUGGCGGCGUGCCUAAUACAUGCAAGUCGAACGAACUUCCGUUAAUUGAUCAGGACGUGCUUGCACUGAAUGAGAUUUUAACACGAAGUGAGUGGCGGACGGGUGAGUAACACGUGGGUAACCUGCCCAGAAGCAGGGGAUAACACCUGGAAACAGAUGCUAAUACCGUAUAACAGAGAAAACCGCCUGGUUUUCUUUUAAAAGAUGGCUCUGCUAUCACUUCUGGAUGGACCCGCGGCGCAUUAGCUAGUUGGUGAGGUAACGGCUCACCAAGGCGAUGAUGCGUAGCCGACCUGAGAGGGUAAUCGGCCACAUUGGGACUGAGACACGGCCCAGACUCCUACGGGAGGCAGCAGUAGGGAAUCUUCCACAAUGGACGCAAGUCUGAUGGAGCAACGCCGCGUGAGUGAAGAAGGGUUUCGGCUCGUAAAGCUCUGUUGUUAAAGAAGAACGUGGGUGAGAGUAACUGUUCACCCAGUGACGGUAUGACCAGAAGACCGCC
RNAcentral lists this ribosomal RNA (531 nucleotides) under Pediococcus acidilactici. RNAcentral's name for it is "bacterial SSU rRNA". It matches the Rfam family "Bacterial small subunit ribosomal RNA", at positions 1 to 495 of the family's 1533-position model. The record is from RNAcentral. Lineage: Bacteria; Bacillati; Bacillota; Bacilli; Lactobacillales; Lactobacillaceae.